Molecule: long non-coding RNA, 888 nt
Organism: Cyprinodon tularosa
Lineage: Eukaryota; Metazoa; Chordata; Actinopteri; Cyprinodontiformes; Cyprinodontidae
Exons: 2
Source: RefSeq, a predicted model, not a curated record
AAGAUUUUCUUUGUUGUUCAUUUAUGACUAAAGAUGCUGAAGGAUCUUAUUGAUCGUGUCUUGCAGGUGGUGAGAUGUUUGCAGCUGCAGGAUCAUCCGGAUCAGUGAUGGAGGUUGACAGGUAGGUUUCUGUUUCUCUUCCCUCCUUGUUCUGGUCGCUGUGAUGACGACUACUUUAUCCAUUCGCAGUUUCCACCAGAGGUCACACGACCAAAGAUGGUUCAAAUCUUCCUUGGAUGUCUGAGCGAACCAAACAUGCUUUGAUAAUGUACUUUUUUUAACCUCCAUUUUUUGUUUCAAAUGAAUGUCUUCUAAUUUCAGAUGAAGGGGUUCCUAUUGAAGAGCUUCCAGAACAUGAGAACAUGCAGGUGGUGAGAUGUUUGCAGCUGCAGGAUCAUCCGGAUCAGUGAUGGAGGUUAGUCGGUAGGUUUCUGUUUCUCUUCCCUCCUUGUUCUGGUCGCUGUGAUGACGACUACUUUAUCCAUUCGCAGUUUCCACCAGAGGUCACACGACCAAAGAUGGUUCAAAUCUUCCUUGGAUGUCUGAGCGACUUUAAUUCUGGCUGUAAAUCCUUCAUCAGCAAUUUGUGCUUACCUUUUUUUUUUUUUUGUCAACAGGUGACUGGACUUCAUUGGGCUCCUGUUAUUCCUUUGGGAUUGAACUACAGUCUGUUAAUCAAUAAAAAGGCUUAAAACUGGAAGUUUAUGCACAAUUUGUUUUUUUCUCCCACACUGUUUACAUUUGGUCACUGAACUUUAUGGAAUAGAAAUGUUACUUUACCAUCUGAAAAGCUUUGCUUAACAAUUUUUUUUUUUUAAUAUACACUGUAUACAAAAUGGCAAAAGUUGACUUAAGUUUAAUAAUAAAACCAGUCUGAAGAAACUUGAA